UCCCAGGUGGCUUAGUGGUAAAGAAUCUGCCUGCUAAGCAGACGUGGGUUCGAUCCCUGGGUC
Molecule: transfer RNA, 63 nt
Filed under: Bos taurus (domestic cattle)
Lineage: Eukaryota; Metazoa; Chordata; Mammalia; Artiodactyla; Bovidae
Also listed under: 1 other name
Rfam family: tRNA
About the family: Transfer RNA (tRNA) molecules are approximately 80 nucleotides in length. Their secondary structure includes four short double-helical elements and three loops (D, anti-codon, and T loops).
Source: Rfam by way of RNAcentral